This 8987-nucleotide long non-coding RNA is filed under the name Homo sapiens (human). RNAcentral's name for it is "HSALNT0347562". Lineage: Eukaryota; Metazoa; Chordata; Mammalia; Primates; Hominidae. The record is from RNAcentral.
CUACCAGUUUUCGAUUACAGAUGACUUAAUCUAACAACCACCAUCCAGAAGGGUCCUGUCCUGUACCCGGGAGGAAGAAAUGCUACACAGAGAAGCCAAGAUGAAUCUGAACAGACAGCCUUUGUCAGUUCCACAGAUUCCAUAAAAGUUAACUCCAGAGCAGAGAAUGAUGCCACAGUCGGGAUAACAUCCAAUAUUUGCAAUCAGAAGAAAUAUGAGAGUCUUGCUCCAUCACCCAGGCUGCAGUGCAGUGGCACGAUCUUGGCUCACUGCAAGCUCCACCUCCCGGGUUCACGCCAUUCUCCUGCCUCAGCCUCCCAAGUAGCUGGGACUACAGGCGCCCACCACCACGCCCAGCUAAAUUUUUUUGUAUUUUUAGUAGAGAUGGGGUUUCACUGUGUUAGCCAGGAUGGUCUCGAUUUCCUGACCUCGUGAUCUGCCUGCCUCGGCCUCCCAAAGUGCUGGGAUUACAGGCGUGAGCCACUGUGCCCGGCCGUAAUUAUUCUUUUCGUGUUAAGCAAUGGUAAAAGAACUGACUGAAAAUAAGAAUAUUAAAAAGUUUCUCUGCUAAAAACAGAAAAUUAUGUUUGUUACCAUUCCUACUAUAACCCCAGUGAUAUGGCUCCGAUGAGUGGAGGAACACCAGGGUUCUUGGUCUUCAUGCCAGUUUAGAUAAAACAACACAGACAUACGUGGAGUGGUUUUAAGGAGCAGACAGUUUAAUAGGCAAGAAGAAAAGAGAAGGCAGAAGGAAAAGGCUCCCCGAUACAAAGACAGAGGGAGGGGGCCUCCAAAGCCAAAAGAGGAAAUCCCAAGUGCAGUGGAUACCAGCCAGGUAUAUGUAGAGGCUGGAGGAGGUGGUGUCUGAUUUGCAUAGGGCUCAGGGGAUUGGUUUGACCAGGCCUGUAAUUCACGGGGCCUGAAAAAGCUGGCCCUCCCACCCUAGCAUUUAAUAUGCAAAUGCAGGGCGCCACGAUGUUCUACAAAUGGUGGGUAUAUGUGGGAGCGGCCAUGUUGCCAGGAACAUGUGGGGCAAGGGCAAGAAGGCCACGGGAAUCACCAUGUUUGGGUAGACGCAGUUUCUAAUGGCUUGCAUUUGCCUAUCAAAGGUUGCCAGCCGCUCUAAGAGCCAGGGCAUUCCAAUUCUGGAGCUGCUUUAAAAAUGAAAACUUCCCAAGGAUCCCUUUUCUUUUCUAUCUGCCUAAAAUAAUUUCUUAAUAACUCCUACAACACAAUGAUUUUCAGUGAAACAAAAGCUGCUGUUUUAUUUUUGUUAAAUUGUUUUUCUUAGCUAAAGAGAUAAAAGUGAGGAUGAGGGAUUCAAAAUGUGGUUUACUUUAUAGAGCUUGCAAAACUCACAGCAUUUAAAGCAGUUUUUAACAGGAGUAUGGGGAUAGGGCUUGAAUGAACUUGGAAAUGCCAUUCAAUUGCUAAAAUCAUAUGCAUCACAUUGUGUUCGUCUGCACAUACGUGCACUUUUCUGGUAAGAAGUUUCAAACUUACAACAAAUUUUCAAAAGAGGUCUAUACUUUUGAAAGUAUAAGAAAUCACUUAGUUUACUGACUUUCCUUAUUUCAGGCCACAUCCAAAAGUACAAAACAGCACAUUUACAUUUUGUAUUUCACAUUUUUUUCAAUACUUACCUUGGGAGCCAUAGGCCCUGCUAAAGUUUUGCUGAAAAAUCAUGGACAUGAUGCAGAUUAAUUAAGAGGAGAAAAGGCAUAUAGAUUUAUUUAACAUGUAUACACAGGAGCAUUCAAAAUGAAGACCCAGCUUCUCCAUGAGUUACAGAAACUUAUAUACCAUCUUGAGUUUGCAGAACGAAUGGGGGCUUGCAUCCUGGUAAGACAGGAUAUAGGAAGAAGGAGAAGAGAAAUUCUAUUGAGGGGCAAUAAAUGACUGUGAAGGAGAAUGAUUGGAUCAGGGAACAGAGAUUAACUUUGUAAAUAGUUUUCUUUGAAAUUUAAAUGAUCCUUGGAGACAAUCAUUGUUCUUAUUAAAAGGUCUGUUCAGGUAUUGGUCACAUCUUGGCCUUCUUUUCUGCAAUAGAUAAUGAGAUAACAGAGAUGGGAAGAAAACACAAUAGUUCUCAUUGGUAGGUCUGGAUCCUAAGCAGAUAAAGGAACUUCAGUUUAUUUGGGAGAGACAGUGGUGGUGAGAGGCCAAAGAGAUCUUCAGGCUUCUUCAGCUCAGCAUGUCAAAAUGCCAUAUUUUGGUAUAUGAAUUUCUGAGCCCCAACAUUCUCCCAUCUGAAACUUCCCUAGGAGUUUCACAAACUAAAAGCUGAGUUAGUGGCUGUGGAAGAGAAAAGUUAAGCUAAAAUAUGAAUGGCAAAUAAUUCUAUUUAACCAAUCUGUGAAUAGGUCAAUUAAACACCUCUUUCAUUUUAGGAGAUAGCAUUGCAGAUGGGCUUUCAAACAGAAGAAAAACAGGUUAAUUUUGGAAACAGUCUAUAAACCAGUUUCCUUACAGUCUGCAGGGCAGUCAGUUGAGGUGUCCAGAUGUUAGACUCAAAGCCCAGUUAAAGAGGAAGCCAGCAAUGGCAAUCUGACAAGAUUUUUUUUGCCUGUUUCAAAAAGUUUAAGCUUUAGCUUAUAGGGCCUCAGGAAAAAGGUAGUAGCAAUUCCAUUGAGUCCAAGUAAGAAAAAUCCUUUUGAAUUUUUUAUUACCAGAUUUUAGUGAGGAUAAACAGCUGAUAUUUCUGGCUUUUAAACAUUUUUUUUUUUAACCAAUGACAUCCUCCCAAGUACCAUAAUCGAGGUUAUAACUUAAGCAUAAGGUGUCUUCAAAGAGGUGGCAAACACUUUUUACAAGAUAUAAAAUUACCCCAAAGAUAGCUCAAAGAAAGGAAAAUUUUGGUAGCCAUAAAUGGAGUGUGACUCACAUUUCUGUUUGGCCAGUCUCUGGAGUCUCAGCUGCUCAGCUCAUUUUCUACAUACAGAAGCCAAAAUGCCUCAUAUGCCCCCACAGAUGAAAGACAGGAAAUCAAAAUCUGUCCAUGGAAGGGAAAAUAAUCAAUAAAUUUUGGGAAGGUAACACAAACGUCAAUCCAGAAAGCACUAAGUCCCUUGCCAGAAGUUUAAUCCAGGCUGCUGUGGUAAAAGGGCAGACCUUGGCUACUAGGUUACAACAUGAGGUGGUCUUUAUUGUUCUUCCCAGAAGAAAUCCAGAGCAGACAGUUUCAAUUUGCAAAGGAUUUUAACUUUGUUUUAGGUCAGAUUUUUUUUUCUCUUUUAAUUUAGUCAGAGAAUUCUCAAGGCUAACUGUGACACCAUUAUGUGUCCUUUUAAAAUGUAUUUUCCCAUUAAUUCUUUCCAAUUAAAAAAAAUCUCUAAAAUCUUUUAAAAUUUAUCUUUUGGCCACUGACAAUUAGAAUUUUCAAUGACAUACUUAAUUCCAAUAGUGACUUUAUCCAAAAGCCUCUUCAUGUAAAGCCCAGGUGGUAAUUUUCCAGGUUUUUACCAUGUAAGCAACAGUUGUUCCCGGAGAGGGUGUAGAGGAGGCGAUCCCCAUGAUCUCCACAAAUUCAUUCUCGGAAAUAGACUCAACAUAGCAAAGAUGACAAAAACCCCAUAGGGUUGGGACUUUUUAAGACAAAACUCACCUAAAAGCUUCAUACAUUCAGAAUGAAGAGUGUGCUGCUUAAAAUAUUACAUGCCUCGGUUUGCAAUCUUUCAGACUGGCUGCCUAAUGUGAACCUGAAAAAUCACACCCUUUGGAUGAUGGAGACUAAGAGAGGACCCCCACUUAGUCAGUCAUGCUCUCAAGGACAUAAGACAGGAUAAAAGGAAAACCUCAUCUGUAUUACAGGGACCCAUAGCAAAGUUUGUUUUAAUAGACACCCAUCUAGCCAGAACCACCAAACCAGCCAAUCUUCAGGGCUGGCUGAAACAAUGGGCUUAUAGGGGUUCUAGGCCUAUGUUCUACACUAUGGUACCCAUCUUCACGACAGAACAACACAGAAAGACAAAGACAAAGGAAAAUGGCAACAACAACAACAACAACAAAUCACCUAUUUCUGAGAGGAAAGGGGGGGUCGAAGAAUGUGAAUAUUCAUACCUCACAGUACUGAAAGUACACUGGAGUCACUAUAACCCAAGACUCAUCACACAAAUCCUUUUUUCUCAUUAAUAAAAUCAUUGCAGAUGAGACAAACAAUGAUUUUUUCCCAUCCACUCAACUGGAAUGCAAAGAGAGAGAGAGGUCAGGAGACUGGCUGGUAAGAAAUUCUUAUCCCUUUGCUGGCAGGUCAGGUUCCUGGGUUCUCUUUACUGCAGCUUAUAGAAGAGAAGAGCAGCUUUGAUUACCCUGCUCACUGCACUAUACUGUGGUGGCCAUAGGCUCUUGGUCCCUUGAAGUUUCACUGAAAAAAAAAUCACUGACAUGAAGCAGAUAAAUUAAUAGGGGAAAAGGCAUGUAAAUCUAUUUAGCAUGUAUACACAGGAGCCUUCAGAAUGAAGACCCAACUUCUUCAUGAGUUACAGAAACUUGAGGUUACAAAAGAAUGGGGGCUCGCAUCCUGGUAAAACAGGUUAUGGGAACGGUGGAGGGGGAAGAGGAAUUUUACUGAUGGGCAAUAAAUGAUUGCAAGGGAGAAUGACUGGAUUGGGGAACAGAGAUUAACUGAUCUGUAGAGACAGUAAUUAUCCUCAUAAAAAGGUCUGUGCAGGUAUGGUCACAGCUUCUUUUCUGCAGUAGAUAAUGAGAUAAUGGGGAGGGAAAGAAAAAGACAAAUUAUUCUCCUUGGUGGGUCUGGAUUUUAGGCAGAUAAAGGAACUUCAGCUUCUUUGGGUGAGAUCAUGUGGAGAUUAGGUCAGAGAGACCUUGAAGCUUCUUCAGCUUAGCAUGUCAAAACAUCAUAUUUUGGGGUAACAAUUUCUGAGCCCAACAUUAUUAUGUCAACCCCUCCAGGAAACUGCAAUUGAGCAGAAUAGAUAGUAAUGAUACUAAGGUUAUAAGGGUGUUAAAAGAUAACAUUUUUUAAGGGUAAAAGCAUUCUUCUCAAAAAAUAUAAAACACAUGAAGAUUCUAUUAAAUUCAUUAAUUAAUAAUGGAAUCAAAUGUUAGAACCAGUUCAGAGUAGUUCUUUUUAAUGACACAAAUGUAGGGAAUAAGGAAUGCUAAAACAAAAUUUUAAAUAAAGACAGAAGUGAUCUAUCUACAGGACAAUAACCAACUGCAUUCCACAAGGACCCAAUUUGUUUGUAUUUCAACUGAAAAGAAUCAUUCACAUUAUUAUGAGUUUUAAAUCCUUCAAAAACAAUGACAAGCACAGAGAUUGCAGAUGGGUACACUAUAAAGGCUGCCAGCGAUCUCCCCCUCCCUCAUUUCGAAUCUGUCACAAUUUUUCUGACAUGCAUUUGCAGAGAAAUUGUGAUGAAGUUUUUUUCUGUCACACAAAAGGCAAGCAUCCAAUUUGACUGAGGGAGUCAAAGGUAGUCCCCACAGAAGUGGUAUUUAAAUGAAUGUUGAAUGAAUGUGCAUUAAGUAAAGAAUAUCUAUGGGGACUUAACAUUUGAAAGGUUCUGGGGCAUCUGAAAAAACAGAGCAAAGCUGUUGGAUGACAAUGGAAUGCUAAUUUAGAGUCGUGUUUGGAAGAACUGAGGUCCCAGUGGUGGAAUUUGAGUUUAUGAUUUCCCAAAGUACGCCUCCUAGAGGAGGAAGUAUACAUCAGUGCUUGAUGGCUUUGAGAGAGUCUUGAGAGUGUAGCCUGCAGCUUCUCAAUGAAAAAUGUCAAAUUUAUCUGCAAUCAUGUUUUAUCUUAAAAUUUCGCUUGGUUUUUAAUAUAACAAUCUAUGAGAUUACAACUUAUUGAGUAAAAUUUAUUGUGCUUAGUACAUGAGAGGAAAGAAGUAUAUAUUGGUUUUGAAUUUUGGCUGAACUGACAUUCCACAAAGUCAUCCCAGGCUCUUAGCCAGACUCUCUGGGUACACUCACUUUGUCUCCGGAGAUAUGCAAGCUCCUCAAAUUAAGGUGCAAAACAUGCAUUGACUACAGGUUACUAAAAGCUUUUAUUGGUCAGUGAAGUCACACGGUUAGUUUUAUUAUGUUUGGGGAAAAUUACUGCCAAUUCCAUGAAAGAAGAUUUGACCCAGCACCAGUGGGAAGCAGUGAUCAGAAAAUGGGCUGCCGAAACAGGCUUGGACUGAGGGUGUGAAUGGGAAGAAAAACGCUAUCUUACAGAGGUAAUUAAAAUGUUCUGACCAAUUAUCUACAGGCGAGAAAAGAGAAGGGUCAGGUAUAACAUUUCUGGUUGUAUUCCUGCAGACAGUUUGCUGGUAGAACUGGAGUUAGCAACUAUGCCACUGAUAGAAACAGGAGACAGCCAAGGGUCCCCGGAGAAACCCUGCCUUCAAGCCUAAAACGCCCUGCAGGCUGAAAAACCAGCUGCUGGUCCUGGAUGAAACCCACAACCCAGAGGGAGAACUGCCCCUGUUUGCCCGCCCUUUCCCAGCCGAUUCUUUCAGAAUAAGGCCCACAUGCGCACCGGGGAAACGGGGUCGAGCCACAGAAAGUUGCGCCUUGUUCAAUGGGGAGGAGUCUGGUCUCUUCAGUUUUCCUGUGCGUGGCCUGGAAUCAAUCUGUGAGGUGGGGGCCUAUUGGCAGGAUCCCCUCUCGCUUUCUUGAGAGUUUUUUUCUUUUUUUCCUUUUUGCCCAGUAAAUUCUGUUCCCCACACCCUUCAAUGUGUCCACGUGCCUAAAUUUUCCAGUUCUUGAUAUAAGAACCUGGAUUUAGCUGAACUAAGGAGCAAAAAUUCUCCUUAGAAUUUUUGGAAGGUUGGUGUAAAGUUAACAGUUGCAGCCACCUGACGGUUUCUAAAUCCCAGGUUUCUUGUAUUACCCAUUGCUCUUUUUCUCUAGCCUUUUAAAGCAGACCUGUAAGAGACCAGGCCAGCUUUAGCAUUUCUUUUGUCUUUUAAUCUGUAAGUUUUGUGCUUGAGCAGGAAGCAGACAGGUUACCUUUUUAAGACACUAAAGGAGAUGAGAUGAAAUUAUUUGUAUGAUCAAAAUGCAUAUUUAGAAUGUGCAUCUGUAAGUUUUCCAUGAUUAAGUUCUUGGGAAAAAAUUUUCAUUUUCCUACUUGGGAUUAAAGAAAAUUCAUCAUAAUAGCGUAGUUAGAAGAGUGAAUGUGAGGAUGCAAAGCCAAGCAAUAUUUAAAUUUACCAAUCUAAGAAGAAAUCUUUAAUCUGGCAUUAUGGCCAAUGAAUCUCAUGUAAAAUUUUCUUCCAGAUGCCCACACAGCUUAACUUUUAGAAACACAACACAGGAUAUUUCAGAGAUAAGCUGUGAUGAGUUCAGGACACGCUACCCCCAAAAUAUGACACAGUGGCAUAUGUAAUAUUUUAGGUGGAAGGAAUUUGAGAAAUAUCAUGAGUGGGAAGUGUCUUCUGACCUUCCCAUGAAGCAGAUCAUAACAACCUCAUGUGAAAGGUGCCCUCCCUAUACCCAGAUGAAAGGAGCAGCCUUCUCUCUGAAGACACAGGGACACAGACAAGAACUGAAUGAAGGGAUUUUGCUCAGUUUUCCCCAGUUUACUCAUACCCUUUAUGCUAUCACAUUUUCCCAUAACUUUCCACUUUUCAUUAAACCUAGAAUAAAAACUCUCAGGUUAAACUGUUUCUUUGCGUCUUCAUUUCCUUAUGAAAACUCCCAUGUCACAUAAAACUUAAAUAAAUGUGCAUGCUUUUCUCUUGUUAAUCUCUUUUGUUACAGGAGUACCAGCCAAUGCACGUUAAGAUGAGUAGAAGGAAAAGAUGUUUUUCCUCCUCUAUAGCUACAUAGUCACAAACAAGGCUGUACCUGUAUAAGGUUUCUUUGGAUAGCAGUGAGUAAAACCUACGCGGAGAGGUUCUAUGCCGAAGGAAUUUUGCUUACUGGAGGACCAGAAACACACGCGCGCGCGCGCGCACACACACACACACACACACACGGGCAGGGGACAAGGGCGUGGCAAAGGGCUCAGAGUGAUUAGGGAACAUGAGCCUUAUGGAAACCAAAGGAUCCUGGAAAGCAGUAAUAGUCAUUGCUGACAUUCAUUAAUAGCUUAUUAUGAGUGUGUGUGUGCAACACACACACACACACAGAGAAAGAGAGAGAGAUUGAUUCUGCUUUUUCUGGAACUAGAGCUAGAAAUGUGGUUUAGGAGGGUUAGGAUACAAAUCCUAUUCCUUUGGGAUUGCAUCCUUCAAAGGGUGUAUGAGGAGAAUUAUCAUUUCUUUAAUAGUGCUUGGCCCUAAACUUUCCCACAAGUCUGGUCAUGGAAAGCUUUCCCAAGGAGUUCUGCUUUGAGUAUUUAUAUCCGUCUGACUUCUAGGAAAAAGCCAAGAAAUAGACAGAGAGACAAAGAAUACCCUAAAGACACUUAGAGAUGUACCAGAUUGUAAUGUUGCAAAUUUCUUAGGACAAUAUCAUAUAUCAGAAGAGAGUGGGUUUACUUGGAUAGGAGUCAGAAAUUUGGGGAAAUAAUGGCUGUGUUAGCAAAUGCGCCUUCACCCUACCAAGAAGGCUUGUUUUUCUUAGCACACAGUGGAUUUAAAGUUACAGCCUGAGUGGAUAUUCCCAGCUCAGUUGAUUUCUCAUGAGCCACAUAUAUUCACAUGCCCCAGACAAGAUUAUUUCCAGUUUUCAGCACUCGUAGUUCUGGGAAGGGAGAGCUAAAUUAUGUGAGAGCACUCUCAGUGGGGGGACACAUAGAGAGAGUUGUUCUAGCAGCAAUAAAACUAGGGCAAUAAGGGGAAUUGAAGGUUAGGCAAGUCUGAGGCCUCAGACAUGGUGUUCAAUCAAUUAUAACAGAAGGACCUGCAUUGAUUCCAGCUGAAAUCUUAAGUAGGUAGCAGCUAGAUUAGCCUCAACAGAGAAAACAAUUAUUUUGGGGGCUACCUGUGGAGAUGAACUCCCUAAAAAGCUCUAAUUUUUAGAAAAUAUUUCUUAUCGUUUCAACAAACAUUAUGAAGUAUAUUCUGGACACUGGGAAUAGAAAAGUGAGU